RNAcentral lists this ribosomal RNA (322 nucleotides) under Glaciecola sp. FRA000029. RNAcentral's name for it is "bacterial SSU rRNA". It matches the Rfam family "Bacterial small subunit ribosomal RNA", at positions 32 to 356 of the family's 1533-position model. Lineage: Bacteria; Pseudomonadati; Pseudomonadota; Gammaproteobacteria; Alteromonadales; Alteromonadaceae. The record is from RNAcentral.
AACGCUGGCGGCNGGCCUAACACAUGCAAGUCGAACGGUAACAUUUCUAGCUUGCUAGAAGAUGACGAGUGGCGGACGGGUGAGUAAUACUUAGGAACAUGCCUUUGUGUGGGGGAUAACUAUUGGAAACGAUAGCUAAUACCGCAUAACGUCUACGGACCAAAGGGGGCUUUCGGGCUCUCGCGCAAAGAGUGGCCUAAGUGAGAUUAGCUAGUUGGUGAGGUAAAGGCUCACCAAGGCGACGAUCUCUAGCUGUUCUGAGAGGAAGAUCAGCCACACUGGAACUGAGACACGGUCCAGACUCCUACGGGAGGCAGCAGUG